AAGUCGUAACAAGGUUUCCGUAGGUGAACCUGCGGAAGGAUCAUUACCAAAUCCAAAUACCCUAACUCCCAUGUGAACUAUUGUAAUAGUCUGUCUUUGGGAGAAAAAGAAGAAAAACAGAACAUCGUGUCUGUUUUUUGGAUGUUUCUCCCAAAAGAAUCCGGGGCAUAUUACUUUCUUUUUGAUAAGAAUUGUUUUAUGUCAUUUGGAUUCUUUAAAAACCUUUAAACCACUUGAUUCAUUGUUGGAAUUCUCUUUUAUUAAUUAUCAAUAAAAGACAACUUUUAACGGCGGAUCUCUUGGCUCGU
RNAcentral lists this unclassified non-coding RNA (308 nucleotides) under fungal sp. Its description in RNAcentral is "partial internal transcribed spacer region". The stretch from base 1 to 46 matches the Rfam family "Eukaryotic small subunit ribosomal RNA", at positions 1786 to 1831 of the family's 1831-position model. The record is from RNAcentral. Lineage: Eukaryota; Fungi.